AAAUAAUGCUGGGGUACGAUGCGGAGCGAAAUUAAGUAGCGAAGUAGCUGAUUUCACACUGUCGAGAAAAGUCUCUAUCGAGGUUAAAGGUGCCUGUACCGCAAACCGACACAGGUGGGUGAGGAGAGUAUCCUAAGGCCAGCGAGAGAACUGUUGUUAAGGAACUCGGCAAAAUGACCCCGUAACUUCGGGAGAAGGGGUGCCUUCGAAAGAAGGCCGCAGAGAAUAGGCCCAAGCGACUGUUUACCAAAAACAUAGGUUUCUGCUAAGUCGCAAGACGAUGUAUAGGAGCUGACGCCUGCCCGGUGCUGGAAGGUUAAGGGGAUCUGUUAGAGCAAUCGAAGCAGUGAACUUAAGCCCCAGUAAACGGCGGCCGUAACAAUAACGGUCCUAAGGUAGCGAAAUUCCUUGUCGGGUAAGUUCCGACCCGCACGAAAGGCGUAACGAUUUGGGCACUGUCUCAACAACAGACUCGGUGAAAUUGUAAUACCGGUGAAGAUGCCGGUUACCUGCGACAGGACGGAAAGACCCCAUGGAGCUUUACUGUAGCUUGACAUUGAGUCUCGGUGCUACAUGUACAGGAUAGGUGGGAGACUAUGAAGCAUGGACGUCAGUCUGUGUGGAGUCAUCCUUGGGAUACCACCCUUGUAGUACUGGGAUUCUAACCAGAGGCCAUGAAUCUGGUCUUGGGACACUGUCAGGUGGACAGUUUGACUGGGGCGGUCGCCUCCCAAAAAGUAACGGAGGCGCUCAAAGGUUCUCUCAGUACGGUCGGAAAUCGUACGAAGAGUGUAAAGGCAAAAGAGAGCUUGAUUGCAAGACAUACAGGUCGAGCAAGGACGAAAGUCGGACUUAGUGAUCCGGUGGUUCCGCAUGGAAGGGCCAUCGCUCAACGGAUAAAAGCUACCCUGGGGAUAACAGGCUGAUCUCCCCCAAGAGUCCACAUCGACGGGGAGGUUUUGGCACCUCGAUGUCGGCUCAUCACAUCCUGGGGCUGUAGUAGGUCCCAAGGGUUGGGCUGUUCGCCCAUUAAAGUGGUACGCGAGCUGGGUUCAGAACGUCGUGAGACAGUUCGGUCCCUAUCCGUCGCAGGCGUAGGAAAUUUGAGGAGACCUGUCCUUAGUACGAGAGGACCGGGAUGGACGUACCGCUGGUGUACCAGUUGUUCUGCCAAGGCAUGGCUGGGUAGCUAAGUACGGAAAGGAUAAGCGCUGAAAGCAUCUAAGCGCGAAGCCCACUUCAAGAUAAGAUUUCCCACCGUAAGGUUAAGAUCCCAGGAAGACUACCUGGUUGAUAGGUCAGAGGUGUAAGUGCAGUAAUGUAUUUAGCUUACUGAUACUAAUAGAUCGAGGACUUGACU
This 1360-nucleotide ribosomal RNA is filed under the name metagenome. RNAcentral describes it as "bacterial LSU rRNA". It matches the Rfam family "Bacterial large subunit ribosomal RNA", at positions 1548 to 2925 of the family's 2925-position model. The record is from RNAcentral.